GAAAGGGCCAUAAGAACUGCUAAUUCAUAAACCUGAUACUAAUCCUUCAGACCUUUC
RNAcentral lists this transfer RNA (57 nucleotides) under Brookesia perarmata. RNAcentral describes it as "tRNA-Ser". Lineage: Eukaryota; Metazoa; Chordata; Lepidosauria; Squamata; Chamaeleonidae. The record is from RNAcentral.